RNAcentral lists this ribosomal RNA (252 nucleotides) under uncultured bacterium. RNAcentral describes it as "partial 16S ribosomal RNA". It matches the Rfam family "Bacterial small subunit ribosomal RNA", at positions 57 to 305 of the family's 1533-position model. The record is from RNAcentral.
GCAAGUCGAACGGAAACGACGCUAACUUGCUAGCAGGCGCCGAGUGGCGGACGGGGGAGUAAUGUAUAGGGAACUGCCUAGUAGUGGGGGACAACAUGUGGAAACGCAUGCUAAUACCGCAUACGCUCUACGGAGGAAAGUGAGGGACCUUUCGGGGCCUCAUGCUACUAGAUGAACCUAGAUUGGAUUAGCUUGUUGGUAAGGUAAUGGCUUACCAAGGCGACGAUCCAUAGCUGGUUUGAGAGAAUGAUC